UGGGGAAUAUUGGACAAUGGGCGCAAGCCUGAUCCAGCAAUGCCGCGUGAAGGAUGAAGUAUUUCGGUAUGUAAACUUCGAAAGAAUAGGAAGAAUAAAUGACGGUACUAUUUAUAAGGUCCGGCUAACUACGUGCCAGCAGCCGCGGUAAUACGUAGGGACCAAGCGUUGUUCGGAUUUACUGGGCGUAAAGGGCGCGUAGGCGGCAAUUCAAGUCAUCUGUGAAAUCUCCGGGCUUAACUCGGAACGGUCAGAUGAUACUGCUUUGCUAGAGUGCAGAAGGGGCAAUCGGAAUUCUUGGUGUAGCGGUGAAAUGCGUAGAUAUCAAGAGGAACACCUGAGGUGAAGACGGGUUGCUGGGCUGACACUGACGCUGAGGCGCGAAAGCCAGGGGAGCAAGCGGGAUUAGAUACCCAUGUAGUCCCUGAGCGGGCUGGCAAGGCGCAU
Molecule: ribosomal RNA, 447 nt
Filed under: uncultured bacterium
Lineage: Bacteria
Description: bacterial SSU rRNA
Rfam family: Bacterial small subunit ribosomal RNA
Source: RNAcentral